CCUACGGGAGGCAGCAGUGGGGAAUUUUGCGCAAUGGGGGAAACCCUGACGCAGCAACGCCGCGUGAGUGAUGAAGGCCUUCGGGUCGUAAAGCUCUUUUAGUGGGGAAGAAGCCCACCCGGGCUAAUAUCCCGGGUGUCUGACGGUACCCACAGAAAAAGUUCCGGCUAACUACGUGCCAGCAGCCGCGGUAAUACGUAGGGAGCAAGCGUUGUUCGGAAUUAUUGGGCGUAAAGAGCGCGUAGGCGGUUCGGUAAGUCUGACGUGAAAUCCCGGAGCUCAACUCCGGAACUGCGUUGGAUACUGCCGGGCUUGAGUGUGGGAGAGGAGAGUGGAAUUCCCAGUGUAGAGGUGAAAUUCGUAGAUAUUGGGAGGAACACCCGUGGCGAAGGCGGCUCUCUGGACCACAACUGACGCUGAGGCGCGAAAGCUAGGGUAGCAAACGGGAUUAGAUACCCCGGUAGUCCUAGCCGUAAACGAUGGGCACUAGGUGUUGGAGGUAUCGACCCCUCCAGUGCCGCAGCUAACGCAUUAAGUGCCCCGCCUGGGGAGUACGGUCGCAAGACUAAAACUUAAAGGAAUUGACGG
This 588-nucleotide ribosomal RNA is filed under the name uncultured bacterium. RNAcentral's name for it is "bacterial SSU rRNA". It matches the Rfam family "Bacterial small subunit ribosomal RNA", at positions 338 to 916 of the family's 1533-position model. The record is from RNAcentral.